CACGUAGUUAGCCGGCGCUUCUUCUGCAGGUACCGUCACUUGCGCUUCUUCCCUGCUGAAAGAGGUUUUACAACCCGAAGGCCGUCAUCCCUCACGCGGCGUCGCUGCAUCAGGCUUGCGCCCAUUGUGCAAUAUUCCCCACUGCUGCCUCCCGUAGGAGUCUGGGCCGUGUCUCAGUCCCAGUGUGGCCGGUCGCCCUCUCAGGCCGGCUACCCGUCGUCGCCUUGGUGAGCCGUUACCUCACCAACAAGCUGAUAGGCCGCGGGCUCAUCCUGCACCGCCGGAGCUUUCCACACAGAGGAGAUGCCUCCCUGUGUCGUAUCCGGUAUUAGACCCCGUUUCCAGGGCUUGUCCCAGAGUGCAGGGCAGAUUGCCCACGUGUUACUCACCCGUUCGCCACUAAUCCACCCCCGAAGGGGCUUCAUCGUUCGACUUGCAUGUGUUAAGCACGCCGCCAGCGUGUCCUCGUGCACGAGUCAACUACU
This 485-nucleotide ribosomal RNA is filed under the name uncultured Streptomyces sp. RNAcentral describes it as "partial 16S ribosomal RNA". The record is from RNAcentral. Lineage: Bacteria; Bacillati; Actinomycetota; Actinomycetes; Kitasatosporales; Streptomycetaceae.